Molecule: ribosomal RNA, 253 nt
Filed under: uncultured bacterium
Lineage: Bacteria
Description: partial 16S ribosomal RNA
Rfam family: Bacterial small subunit ribosomal RNA
Source: RNAcentral
CACGUAGGGGGCGAGCGUUGUCCGGAUUUAUUGGGCGUAAAGAGCUCGUAGGCGGCUCAGUAAGUCAGGUGUGAAAACUCGAGGCUCAACCUCGAGACGCCGGUGGAAACCGUAAAGCUAGAGUCCGGAAGAGGAGAGUGGAAUUCCUGGUGUAGCGGUGAAAUGCGCAGAUAUCAGGAAGAACACCCGUGGCGAAGGCGGCUCUCUGGGACGGUACUGACGCUGAGGAGCGAAAGCGUGGGGAGCGAACAGG